GAAGCUGUGGCUCAGCUGGUAGAGUGCUUGCCUAGCAUGCACCAGGCCCUGGGUUCCAUCCCCAGCACCGCCU
This 73-nucleotide transfer RNA is filed under the name Neotoma lepida (desert woodrat). It matches the Rfam family "tRNA". Rfam says of the family: Transfer RNA (tRNA) molecules are approximately 80 nucleotides in length. Their secondary structure includes four short double-helical elements and three loops (D, anti-codon, and T loops). The record is from Rfam by way of RNAcentral. Lineage: Eukaryota; Metazoa; Chordata; Mammalia; Rodentia; Cricetidae.